UUAAUUGAAGCCAAAACAGAGGCAUCUUAUUGUUAAUAAGAUAAUUGACCUUAAUUCCAAUUAAA
This 65-nucleotide transfer RNA is filed under the name Olidiana tongmaiensis. Its description in RNAcentral is "tRNA-Asp". Lineage: Eukaryota; Metazoa; Arthropoda; Insecta; Hemiptera; Cicadellidae. The record is from RNAcentral.